CUGCAUGGCUGUCGUCAGCUCGUGUCGUGAGAUGUUGGGUUAAGUCCCGCAACGAGCGCAACCCUCGUCCUUAGUUGCCAUCAUUUGGUUGGGCACUCUAAGGAAACUGCCGGUGAUAAGCCGGAGGAAGGUGGGGAUGACGUCAAGUCCUCAUGGCCCUUACAGGCUGGGCUACACACGUGCUACAAUGGCGGUGACAGUGGGCAGCAAGCACGCGAGUGUGAGCUAAUCUCCAAAAGCCGUCUCAGUUCGGAUUGUUCUCUGCAACUCGAGAGCAUGAAGGCGGAAUCGCUAGUAAUCGCGGAUCAGCAUGCCGCGGUGAAUACGUUCCCAGGCCUUGUACACACCGCCCGUCACACCAUGGGAGUUGGUUUCACCCGAAGGCAGUGCGCUAACCGCAAGGAGGCAGCUGACCACGGUGGGAUCAGCGACUGGGGUGAAGUCGUAACAAGGUAGCCGUAGGGGAACCUGCGGCUGGAUCACCUCCUUU
Molecule: ribosomal RNA, 490 nt
Filed under: uncultured Novosphingobium sp.
Lineage: Bacteria; Pseudomonadati; Pseudomonadota; Alphaproteobacteria; Sphingomonadales; Sphingomonadaceae
Description: bacterial SSU rRNA
Rfam family: Bacterial small subunit ribosomal RNA
Source: RNAcentral